CACGUAGGGGGCGAGCGUUGUCCGGAUUUAUUGGGCGUAAAGAGCUCGUAGGCGGUUUGGCAAGUCGGGUGUGAAAUUUCGAGGCUCAACCUCGAAACGCCACUCGAUACUGCCAUGACUGGAGUCCGGUAGAGGAGUGCGGAAUUCCUGGUGUAGCGGUGAAAUGCGCAGAUAUCAGGAGGAACACCGGUGGCGAAGGCGGUUCUCUGGGAAUGUCCUGACGCUGAGGAGCGAAAGUGUGGGGAGCGAACAGG
Molecule: ribosomal RNA, 254 nt
Filed under: uncultured bacterium
Lineage: Bacteria
Description: partial 16S ribosomal RNA
Rfam family: Bacterial small subunit ribosomal RNA
Source: RNAcentral